GCACCCGCGGUAAUUCCAGCACCAAUAGCGUAUAUUAAUGCUGCUGCUGUUAAAAAGCUCGUAGUUGGAUCAAGAGUUCGACAGUGCACGGUGGCCCUGUUUGUCAUAGUGGUUCCGAUCACUGUGGCGGCAGCGGAUCAACCCCGUGCGCCAAACUGUCCGCUCUAACAGACCGAAGCGGUUCCCUGUGAGUAGGCUCCUUCAUUGGGGCUGAAAGCGCUUACGCAUUAACCAUAUGCAUACGGGACGUCGGUCAAUGUUACUGUGAACAAACCAGCGUGUCCAAAACAGGCUUUCGCCUGAAUGUUCGAGCAUGGAAUAACAAGGGAUCGAUUCUCUCGGUUCUUUUUGUUGGUUUUUAACCCGAGAAGGAGUAAUUCAGGCCACGGUGUCUGAGUUGGGUUUCCCUUCACCUCGGUGGAGGCCCCAAUUAGGCCGUGUCCUUACGGGAUAAAUAGGGACUGACGGGGUCGUACGUACUUCCACGUCAGAGGUGAAAUUCUUAGAUCGUGGGAAGACGAACUUCUGCGAAAGCAUUCGACAAGAAUGUCUUCAUUAAUCAAGAACGAGAGUGUGGGGAUCGAAGAUGAUCAGAUACCGUCGUAGUCCACUACUGUAAACAAUGCCGUCUCAGGAUUGAGAAGUGAACAGAAUGACUUUCACAGCACUAACCCCUGAAACGAGAAAUCAAAGAUUAUGGGUUCAGGGGGGAGUACAUUCGCAAGGCUGAAACUUAAAGGAAUUGACGGAAUGACACCACAAGGCGUGGAGUAUGCGGCUUAAUUUGACUCAACACGGGGAAUUUUACUAGGUCAGGACAAUGUAAGGAUUGACAGAUUGAGAGCUCUUUCUCGAUCCAUUGUGUGGUGGUGCAUGGCCGCUCCUGGUUGGUGGAGUGAUUUGUCUGGUUGAUUCCGUUAACGAACGAGAUCUCGACCCUUAAAUAGGUGCCCGUGUCGAUCUGUAGUUUCAUCACCGCUCGCUUGCGAGAUUGGUGUGGGGCGAGACUGCGGGAAUACUUCUUAAGGGGACUGUGUGCGUCUCUAGCACGCGGAAGAGCGAGCCAAUAGCAGGUCUGUGAUGCUCCUAAAUGUCCUAGGCUGCACGCGCACUACACUGAUGCAAUAAACGAGUCUGAGUGCCUUCUGGCAACCUACCUGGAAGCGGGUGGGAAAUCUUUUGAACUUGCAUCGUGAUGAG
Molecule: ribosomal RNA, 1200 nt
Filed under: uncultured marine diplonemid
Lineage: Eukaryota; Euglenozoa; Diplonemea
Description: SSU rRNA
Rfam family: Eukaryotic small subunit ribosomal RNA
Source: RNAcentral